Molecule: non-coding RNA, 2468 nt
Organism: Salmo salar (Atlantic salmon)
Lineage: Eukaryota; Metazoa; Chordata; Actinopteri; Salmoniformes; Salmonidae
Source: RefSeq, a predicted model, not a curated record
UCUGUGGCAGAGUAUUGUCUGUAAAAUGUAGGCACACUUUGAACCAUAAUAAAAUGCCACUCAAGUUCCCUGGCAAAGCCAACCCAUUGAGGGAGCUGAUAACCAUCUCUAAAUAGGAAGGGAGAGGAGAAGAAAUCAUCAGUUUGAAGCAUUUCGAGACAGAAAUCAAGCAAGAGUUAUAUUUUAGAUCUAUAUUAAAAAUGUUCAGAAGAAAAAGGGGAAAUACUUUUCCGGUGAGUUACCUUCAAAAUGCUUCAAACGUUUUGCAGAUUGAUGACUUGACUGAUUGUAAUAGUGUUUAAGACUGGAAUGUACUGAUCAUAGAAGUGUUUGUCACAGUAUUUCUCACCAAUGGUUCUAAACUGUUUUACAGACUACAGCAAGCUGGAAGAGAGAAGACCACUAUGACAGCAUCACUCUCUCACUCACCCCUGAUCCACCUGUGCCUGUGUCUGUUGGUCUGGUCACACCUGGGCCUGUCUGAGGUCUCCCACUGCCGUCAGUUAACCACCAUCUAGUGCACCAAGCCCCAUUUGUUCCUGGCCACAGCCUUGUGGGCCAGGGCUUCGACGUGGUCACGCUACAGCUCAAAGGGGCCUACGUGAUUAACUCUCAGAGCUACCUGAUCACCACCACCAACUCAUGUACCUUGUGUGAGAACCCACUGAUGGGCAACAGGUUUGAGAAGCUGCCCCUCUCUGUUCAGGACUUGUGGGUGAACAGCAGCUGAAGCGUAAGGCUCUCCAGCUCUGCUUUAACGUCUGUCAGCUCCUUGGUGGGGAGUGUCUCAAUGAUACAGAAUGAUUGGAGGACGGCUGCGGGGUUGGCAGGAUUCACCAACCUGCAGCUGGAGGGCAGCCAGUUUCCGGCUUCGCCUCCGUCAGAGCCAGAGUGGAUGUUAUUAGCGUGCAGAAAGUCGAUUUGUAGACAGGACAAUUGUUAACUUGUUUUUUUCUUUGAUUUAUUUAUUGUUUUUGUUUGGCGUUUUGCAUUGACUGCUUGUUCUUAUUUUCUACUGUCUUUCAAUUCUUUGUUUAAGUAUUUGUUAAAUGCGAUUUUGCAUACUGUCUUUGAUCAGAGCCCUAUACUACGUACAUAGUUUGAGAAGUUAGUGAGGUAACUUUGGUCAACUCUGAGUUCAAUUCGGGAUAACCGGUAUCACGAAAGUGGCUCACCUUUUAGCCACGUACAUUUCGAUGGCAACGAAUCCUUCAGAAUUAACCUGCUCCUGGGCAGGCUAACUCCAUUUAUCCUGAAUGAAGUGCCUGAGCAGCGAGUUGAGGACCAACGAAAUCAUAUUCCCUCCCUCUCACAAAGACUGCAUCCUCAUCCCCUUCAUUUGAAGAAGACGACUGAUUCAAUAUUUUAUUAUUAAUCAAAUGUUUUUUGUGUGUACAUUUUUUUUAUUGUUAAAUACCUAUCACAUUACACAUUCAGUAAUGACAGAAUGCAUUUUCAACUUCACACACAGUAAAACAUAUGACUUAAUACAAUUAUUUUAUCGAUAGGAGUGGGAAAAAAAGGUUAUUGUGCAUUGAAAAGCACACCAAAGAUGGCAUUAACGAUAACAAGCCUAUAUCACACCAUAGCUUGGUGAUUUUGCAAGAUAACUUUUCUUUCAUUUUGAUUUAGUCACAAAUGAAAAUGUGGCUCAGACUCAUCCAUUGAUUGAUGUUCCAGCAUUGUCUCAAUGAAGAGUUCGGCUUUCGACUAGCCAUGUGUGACAUGCACACGCAGAUACAAGUCUGCUAGAGUUAGUGGCAGGCAGAUAAACAGUAUCCACCGCUGUAGUACGGAUUAAGACUGAGCUGGAAUGUGAAGCUAACUGAAGCUGGCUAGCUUAAUAAAGUAUAUCUAGCUUCAAUCAAUCUGAGCCCAUCAUAAAAAGAAAAUACAAAGUAGGUCACAAAAAAAAAGAAGAUUUGAAAUACAAAUGAACUAACAUCAAGAAGUUUAUGAUGUCACUUUUUGCAUCUUCUGUUCUUCUGUUUUUCAGGUACUGUCUCUUCAUCACCCCUCUCUACCCUGACUUCCACCAGGAGACUCUCUCCCUCCCCCAGAUGCUCAACAGAACCACACUCCCCAUGCAACGGCACUUCAUCACCACCUACGGCACCCACCACAUCCCUCAGAUGACCCUGGGAGGAGGGCUGAAGAGGGUGAUUUCCCUCCGCACCUGCCUGGCCUCCCUCAACAAGUGUUCAUACACCCAUGAAAUAUUUGACCAAGAAGAAGAAUGAUGGAGUGCUGCAUCAGAUGACCUGGCCUCCACAAUCACCCGACCUCAACUCAGUUGAGACGGUUUGGGAUGAGUUGGACCGCAGAGUGAAGAAUAAGCAGCCAACAAGUGCUCAGCAUAUAUGGGAACUCCUUCAAGACUGUUGGAAAAGCAUUCCAGGUGAAGCUGGUUGAGAGAAUGCCAAGAGUGUGCAAAGCUGUCAUCAAGGCAAAGGGUGGCUACUUUGAAG